Molecule: long non-coding RNA, 209 nt
Filed under: Lathyrus oleraceus (garden pea)
Lineage: Eukaryota; Viridiplantae; Streptophyta; Magnoliopsida; Fabales; Fabaceae
Description: Pisum sativum (pea) long non-coding RNA (PSAT_LNC037719)
Source: RNAcentral
UUGAUUCCUCCUUGUGUACCAAUGAGAGUCACAUUAGAGAACUCACCACAACUAUCAAUAAUAUCCAAGCUACCCAAUACAGAAUCAUACCAAACAACAUCAACAUUAGUGAGAGACAUAAGUCUUUGAGACCACUGUAGACAUUGCUUGUUCUCCAUGAAAGCAGGCGUCUGAGGCAAGUGUGAAAUAAACCACUUGUACAGAAGAGG